RNAcentral lists this ribosomal RNA (253 nucleotides) under uncultured bacterium. RNAcentral's name for it is "partial 16S ribosomal RNA". It matches the Rfam family "Bacterial small subunit ribosomal RNA", at positions 524 to 776 of the family's 1533-position model. The record is from RNAcentral.
UACAGAGGGUGCAAGCGUUGUUCGGAAUUAUUGGGCGUAAAGCGCGUGUAGGCGGCUAUGUAAGUUGGGUGUGAAAGCCCUCGGCUCAACCAAGGAAGUGCAUCCGAAACUGCUGAGCUUGAGUACUUAAGAGGAUCGCGGAGUUCCCGGUGUAGAGGUGAAAUUCGUAGAUAUUGGGAAGAACACCGGUGGCGAAGGCGGCUCACUGGCUCGUUACUGACGCUCAGGCGCGACAGCGUGGGGAUCAAACAGG